GAAAGAAUAUCGGAGACGGAUGGGCAUGCGGCGCAUUAGCUAGUUGGCGGGGUAACGGCCCACCAAGGCGACGAUGCGUAGGGGUUCUGAGAGGAAGGUCCCCCACACUGGUACUGAGACACAGACCAGACUCCUACGGGAGGCAGCAGUGAGGAAUAUUGGUCAAUGGGCGAGAGCCUGAACCAGCCAAGUCGCGUGAGGGAGUACUGCCCUAUGGGUUGUAAACCUCUUUUGUCGGGGAGCAAAAGCCGGACGUGUCCGUCUGUGAGAGUACCCGAAGAAAAAGCAUCGGCUAACUCCGUGCCAGCAGCCGCGGUAAUACGGAGGAUGCGAGCGUUAUCCGGAUUUAUUGGGUUUAAAGGGUGCGCAGGCGGAUUUUUAAGUCAGCGGUCAAAUCGUGGGGCUCAACCCCAUCCAGCCGUUGAAACUGGGGAUCUAGAGUGUGCGAGAGGUAUGCGGAAUGCGUGGUGUAGCGGUGAAAUGCAUAGAUAUCACGCAGAACCCCGAUUGCGAAGGCAGCAUACCGGUGCACAACUGACGCUCAGGCACGAAAGCGUGGGUAUCGAACAGGAUUAGAUACCCUGGUAGUCCACGCAGUAAACGAUGAAUGCUACCUGUUUGGCCAGAUUGAAGGCUGA
Molecule: ribosomal RNA, 638 nt
Filed under: uncultured bacterium
Lineage: Bacteria
Description: bacterial SSU rRNA
Rfam family: Bacterial small subunit ribosomal RNA
Source: RNAcentral